Molecule: long non-coding RNA, 3651 nt
Filed under: Daucus carota (carrot)
Lineage: Eukaryota; Viridiplantae; Streptophyta; Magnoliopsida; Apiales; Apiaceae
Description: long non-coding RNA (DCAR_LNC002216)
Source: RNAcentral
AAUUGGGCUAAGAGUCCUAUAUAAAGGAAGGACGCGUCCUCCUGCUUAUAAAGUGAGGACGCGACCGACCCUUGAAGAGACUAGUCUGAACGGAAGGGCGCAGCCCUCCGUGAUAUGACUGAUCCGCCGAUGUUGCGUAUCUUAAUGAAGAGGACGCGUCCUCCGCGUCGGAAGGAGGGAUGCGUCCUCCAGGUCACACGUGUCCCAUGAAGAGGACGCGUCCUCCUGCUUAUAAAGGGAGGAUGCGAUCGACCUUUGGUGUUGCGUGAAGAGGACGCGUCCUCCUGCUUAUAAAGGGAGGAUGUGACCGACCAUUGGUGUUGCGUGAAGAGGACGCGUCUUCCGAGUCACAAGGAGGGACGCCUUACUUGAGAGUAUUGAUGGAGAGACGCGACCGACCUCCGUCCACCCACGUCGUGUAAUCUAUGGAGGAGGGCGCGCCCUCUUCGGAGGUGACCGAGGGGCGCGUCCCUUGUAAGAAGUUGACCAUGAGAUGAAGACCAAGGGCGUGCCUUUAACGGGGUGUCCUCGCCUCCCCGGGGGCGCGACCUCAUGUUAAAGAAGGACCUGUCUGAUGUGUUGUUGGAGUGGUCGAUGGGACGAGACGGCGAAGGCAAGGGCGCGCCCUCAGGGGUCGCUCCCACAUGUAAACACAUAUUGUAAGAAGGCUCUUCCUAUAGGAGAGCGUACAUUCGCUGAGACAACCCUUCCGAGGGAGACGAAGACCGCCCCUCCGGGGAUAGGAAGACCUACCCCUCCGGGGGAUAUGACGACCCCUCCGGGGGAUACGACGACUCUUCCGAGGUGUUGUAGCCGUUUUUGUAUAUCAUGUGGAGGGGAGGACGCGCCCUCCCCAGACAUGGCCCGGGAGGUGUGGUCUCUUGUCCAGUAAGGAGGAUUGAAGACAAGAUAAGGGAAGGACGCGCCCUCCCCAGACAUGGCCCGGGAGGUGCGGUCUCUUGUCCAGUAAACAGGGAUGAAGACGGGAAUUGGGAAGGACACGUCCUCCCUAUCAGGGCGCGUCCUUUGACUCAGAAGAGGCAUAGUUAUGAAAUACAUGAUGAAAGAAAGAGGAUGAGUGAGUCUCCGUGACGACCCUUCCGAGGGAUAUGAAGACUAGUUACCAAGCUCAUUUGGUAGUUAUCAGGCUCAUCUGAUAGUUCCCGGGCUCAUCCGGGCAUGAUCUACAAUCCUCAAUCCUGCUAUCUGCCGAGUUAACCCUCGUGUGGGGGCUUGAGGUGAUCAUGGCUCUUGAAGGCCCUCCGGGGUAACACGAAGGCCGAUCAUAUGUCUGGAUCCUGUAUUCUGGUGAGUUAGCCCUCAUCGGGGGAUUGAGACGAUCGUGUAAUUCGGCUCCUUGUCUACCUUGUUUGAAGAUGAAGACCUCACCGAGAGGUGAGGACGUGUCCCUGCACCUCGAGGGGUUAGCCAUGGCUCUCCCAGAUAACUUCUCCAUAAGAGUCGUGGUAGAUGCUAUCUCUCGUAGUGGAGAUAUCGUUGAAUCCGUGAUCUAUUUGGAUUAGGAGUCUGGGGUAGUCAUACUCAAGACUAAUUCUAACAGGAGUAGGAUUCUCCAAGAUGGGCCUUCGGCCUAUCUCCGACCUUAUCGCCAAGAGGCCUAGUCCUGAUCAAACUAGGACUCCUGGUUCCAUAGAACUACGUACGGCUUGAUCCCAUAUAAAUAUAGGGGUACGUAGGCACAUUGGGGGGAUCAUGAGUUGAGAGCACGUGAGACCAACUCAAAACCCUAAUCUCAGCCACCCCCUAAAACAAACAACCACCACUCUCCGGCGAACUAGUUGAGAAGGGAGAUGCUUCAAAGACGCGCCUCCUCCUAGUUGGACGCACCCCGAGUUCCAAAGUCAUGUUUCCAGGGUUGAUAAUUUGGGAGGACGCGUCUUCCCCUAACAGGGCGCGUCGUGAGGUAACACUGACCAUCAGUAUUAAGUCGUACACAUGAUAAAGUGCAGGUCAAGUCCAACAUGCUAAAGGAGCUGUCCAUCUUGAUGAGGGCGCGCCCUCCAUUCUACAGGAACGUGGCAUGAUACCUGCAAGGUCUUUGAUCAAGGUACACUUAAGGCCUUUCAAAGGUUACCAAAUUAUCCAUGACCAGCUCUGGGUACUAUGAAUUUUAACCAUCUAUGAUACGCUCUGGAUGUCAUCCACGAUCUACUCUAGAUGCUAUGAUUAUUUACCUAUCUAUGAUUCCCCAUAUGAGCCAUAAGCUCUGGGACCCGUGCGAUGCACCGGAGUUUUUUAAACCACGAUAAGAUUCGUGAUGCCUCGUAUGGGAUGAUGUAUGGACUGGGGAGUGGUCCUUUUGAAUUUCUUAAGCAAGUGAUUCACGCGUGAAAAAGUAAGGCUGCGCCAAAGGCCGCGCCCUCUACUUAAUCCUUGGAAAAGAUCAAAAGAGCCUUACAAGUAAGGCUGCGCCCUCUGCUUAUACAGUCCUUGAAAGAAAAGAAAUAUUGCAAGGCAGCGCCAUCAGCCGCGCCCUCUGCUUAGGCAAUUCUUUAACAAAAAGAAUUAAAAGGGGUCAUGUUAUAACUAGGCGGCGCCAUUCUGUAAGUCGCGCCUUAUAUUUACUAUUCCCAGAUACCAUGGACACAGUAAGGCUGAAAAAAAAGCCACAAACCUUCGCACAGCGAAGGCGCGCCCUUCUUUUGUUGAAGUUCAUUGGCGCGAAUGUUAUGGUUGAAUGUGUCAUUUGGAAGGAAUAAGCGAAGCUGCGCCACUGUCAACGACAGAUAGGCCGCGCCCCCUGUUUUCUUUUGUCUACAUAAAGAUUGCUUAUUAUUUAUGAACACAUCAAGAAGACGCGACAGCCUCAUGCUUAGCAACUUUGCUAAAUGAUCAAAGACACCGACAUUAUAUACAUGCAAGGCUUGUGCACAGCCUGCAUCUUGGAAUGUCGAGGAAUAGAAGUGGCUUACGUCACGCCUCUAUGCGCGGACGCGCUCUCGGAAGAGGAUGUGUGGUAUGGAGUAAAAAUUUCCCUGAUAUCUCCAAUAUCAAGAAAAUUUGGGGAGUACUUGUUAUAGCCAAAUUUGGCUAGGUCCUUGUUGGGCCAAGUAUGUACUUAGUUUAACUAAGUAAGACAUGAAUUGGGCUAAGAGUCCUAUAUAAAGGAAGGACGCGUCCUCCUGCUUAUAAAGUGAGGACGCGACCGACCCUUGAAGAGACUAGUCUGAACGGAAGGGCGCAGCCCUCCGUGACGCGACUGAUCCGCCGAUGUUGCGUAUCUUAAUGAAGAGGACGCGUCCUCCGCGUCGGAAGGAGGGAUGUGUCCUCCAGGUCACACGUGUCCCAUGAAGAGGACGCGUCCUCCUGCUUAUAAGGGGAGGAUGCGAUCGACCCUUGGUGUUGCGUGAAGAGGAGGCGUCCUCCUGCUUAUAAAGGGAGGAUGCGACCGACCCUUGGUGUUGCUUGAAAAGGACGCGUCCUCCGAGUCACAAGGAGGGACGCCUUACUUGAGAGUGUUGAUGGAGAGACGCGACCGACCUCCGUCCACCCACGUCCUGUAAUAUGUGGAGGAGGGCACGCCCUCUUCGGAGGUGACCGAGGGGCGCGUCCCUUGUAAGAAGUUGACAAUGAGAUGAAGACCAAGGGCGUGCCUUUAACGGGGUGUCCUCGCCUCCCCGGGGGCGCGAC